AGACCCGAAACCCGGUGAUCUAGCCAUGGGCAGGUUGAAGGUUGGGUAACACUAACUGGAGGACCGAACCGACUAAUGUUGAAAAAUUAGCGGAUGACCUGUGGCUGGGGGUGAAAGGCCAAUCAAACCGGGAGAUAGCUGGUUCUCCCCGAAAGCUAUUUAGGUAGCGCCUCGUGAAUUCAUCUCCGGGGGUAGAGCACUGUUUCGGCUAGGGGGCCAUCCCGGCUUACCAACCCGAUGCAAACUGCGAAUACCGGAGAAUGUUAUCACGGGAGACACACGGCGGGUGCUAACGUCCGUCGUGAAGAGGGAAACAACCCAGACCGCCAGCUAAGGUCCCAAAGUCAUGGUUAAGUGGGAAACGAUGUGGGAAGGCCCAGACAGCCAGGAUGUUGGCUUAGAAGCAGCCAUCAUUUAAAGAAAGCGUAAUAGCUCACUGGUCGAGUCGGCCUGCGCGGAAGAUGUAACGGGGCUAAACCAUGCACCGAAGCUGCGGCAGCGACACUAUGUGUUGUUGGGUAGGGGAGCGUUCUGUAAGCCUGCGAAGGUGGCCUGUGAGGGUUGCUGGAGGUAUCAGAAGUGCGAAUGCUGACAUAAGUAACGAUAAAGCGGGUGAAAAGCCCGCUCGCCGGAAGACCAAGGGUUCCUGUCCAACGUUAAUCGGGGCAGGGUGAGUCGACCCCUAAGGCGAGGCCGAAAGGCGUAGUCGAUGGGAAACGGGUUAAUAUUCCCGUACUUGGUGUUACUGCGAAGGGGGGACGGAGAAGGCUAUGUUGGCCGGGCGACGGUUGUCCCGGUUUAAGCGUGUAGGUGUGUGUUCCAGGUAAAUCCGGUUCACUUUAACACUGAGGCGUGAUGACGAGGCACUACGGUGCUGAAGCAACAAAUGCCCUGCUUCCAGGAAAAGCCUCUAAGCAUCAGGUAACAUCAAAUCGUACCCCAAACCGACACAGGUGGUCAGGUAGAGAAUACCAAGGCGCUUGAGAGAACUCGGGUGAAGGAACUAGGCAAAAUGGUGCCGUAACUUCGGGAGAAGGCACGCUGACACGUAGGUGAAGUGAUUUACUCAUGGAGCUGAAGUCAGUCGAAGAUACCAGCUGGCUGCAACUGUUUAUUAAAAACACAGCACUGUGCAAACACGAAAGUGGACGUAUACGGUGUGACGCCUGCCCGGUGCCGGAAGGUUAAUUGAUGGGGUCAGCGCAAGCGAAGCUCCUGAUCGAAGCCCCGGUAAACGGCGGCCGUAACUAUAACGGUCCUAAGGUAGCGAAAUUCCUUGUCGGGUAAGUUCCGACCUGCACGAAUGGCGUAAUGAUGGCCAGGCUGUCUCCACCCGAGACUCAGUGAAAUUGAACUCGCUGUGAAGAUGCAGUGUACCCGCGGCAAGACGGAAAGACCCCGUGAACCUUUACUAUAGCUUGACACUGAACAUUGAGCCUUGAUGUGUAGGAUAGGUGGGAGGCUUUGAAGUGUGGACGCCAGUCUGCAUGGAGCCGGCCUUGAAAUACCACCCUUUAAUGUUUGAUGUUCUAACGUGGACCCGUGAUCCGGGUUGCGGACAGUGUCUGGUGGGUAGUUUGACUGGGGCGGUCUCCUCCUAAAGAGUAACGGAGGAGCACGAAGGUUGGCUAAUCCUGGUCGGACAUCAGGAGGUUAGUGCAAUGGCAUAAGCCAGCUUGACUGCGAGCGUGACGGCGCGAGCAGGUGCGAAAGCAGGUCAUAGUGAUCCGGUGGUUCUGAAUGGAAGGGCCAUCGCUCAACGGAUAAAAGGUACUCCGGGGAUAACAGGCUGAUACCGCCCAAGAGUUCAUAUCGACGGCGGUGUUUGGCACCUCGAUGUCGGCUCAUCACAUCCUGGGGCUGAAGUAGGUCCCAAGGGUAUGGCUGUUCGCCAUUUAAAGUGGUACGCGAGCUGGGUUUAGAACGUCGUGAGACAGUUCGGUCCCUAUCUGCCGUGGGCGCUGGAGAACUGAGGGGGGCUGCUCCUAGUACGAGAGGACCGGAGUGGACGCAUCACUGGUGUUCGGGUUGUCAUGCCAAUGGCACUGCCCGGUAGCUAAAUGCGGAAGAGAUAAGUGCUGAAAGCAUCUAAGCACGAAACUUGCCCCGAGAUGAGUUCUCCCUGAGACUUAGAGUCUCCUGAAGGAACGUUGAAGACGACGACGUUGAUAGGCCGGGUGUGUAAGCGCAGCGAUGCGUUGAGCUAACCGGUACUAAUGAACCGUGAGGCUUAACCUUACA
This 2241-nucleotide ribosomal RNA is filed under the name Salmonella enterica. RNAcentral's name for it is "partial 23S ribosomal RNA". It matches the Rfam family "Bacterial large subunit ribosomal RNA", at positions 711 to 2925 of the family's 2925-position model. RNAcentral also lists the same sequence under 1 other name. The record is from RNAcentral. Lineage: Bacteria; Pseudomonadati; Pseudomonadota; Gammaproteobacteria; Enterobacterales; Enterobacteriaceae.